Molecule: small nuclear RNA, 104 nt
Organism: Acomys russatus (golden spiny mouse)
Lineage: Eukaryota; Metazoa; Chordata; Mammalia; Rodentia; Muridae
Source: RefSeq, a predicted model, not a curated record
AGUCACAUUGGUGUUUAAGAUCCCAGUGUAGAAAGAUACAGAGAAGAUUAGCAUGGCCCUUGCACAAGGAUGACACGCAAAUUCGUGAAGCGUUCCAUAUUUUU